UACGUAGGUGGCAAGCGUUGUCCGGAUUUACUGGGCGUAAAGGGCGUGCAGGCGGUUUGUUAAGUGCAGGGUGAAAGCUCCCGGCUCAACUGGGAGAGGUCCUUGCAUACUGGCAAACUCGAGGGAGGCAGAGGAAAGUGGAAUUCCCGGUGUAGUGGUGAUAUGCGUAGAUAUCGGGAGGAACACCAGUGGCGAAGGCGACUUCCUGGCCUGUUCUUGACGCUGAGGCGCGAAAGCUAGGGGAGCAAACGGG
RNAcentral lists this ribosomal RNA (253 nucleotides) under uncultured bacterium. Its description in RNAcentral is "partial 16S ribosomal RNA". It matches the Rfam family "Bacterial small subunit ribosomal RNA", at positions 524 to 776 of the family's 1533-position model. The record is from RNAcentral.